GUCAUAUUUGAUUAAAUAGUAGUGAAGUAUUAAUUUUAUGUGCUGGCUUAGACCUUCCUCCCUAUCGGAUGAAAUUGAUACAAGUCACUAUGUAUUUAAUCGUCUAGUUUUGAUAAUCUGUAUUAACUCUCCUAAACUGAGUAAUAUAGGAUUGGAUCAAUGUAACUAGAGGAUUUUCACUUGACUUAAACUAACAGUAGACUCUCCAUCUGAGUUAGGUCUGUAUAAGUUUAUGGAGUGAAUAAUCGGUCAUUGUACAUGUGUAUUGCAUGAGUAGUUCUCCAAUCCCAUCAAUUGGCUAUUCGAGAU
This 309-nucleotide long non-coding RNA is filed under the name Solanum tuberosum (potato). RNAcentral's name for it is "long non-coding RNA (STUB_LNC007120)". Lineage: Eukaryota; Viridiplantae; Streptophyta; Magnoliopsida; Solanales; Solanaceae. The record is from RNAcentral.